Molecule: unclassified non-coding RNA, 210 nt
Filed under: soil metagenome
Description: partial contains 5.8S ribosomal RNA, internal transcribed spacer 2, and large subunit ribosomal RNA
Source: RNAcentral
AACCUUAUGGACCUGCGGGCGUAUACCUGCGGAGGGAUCAUUACCGAGUUUACAACUCCCAAACCCCUGUGAACAUACCACUUGUUGCCUCGGCGGAUCAGCCCGCUCCCGGUAAAACGGGACGGCCCGCCAGAGGACCCCUAAACUCUGUUUCUAUAUGUAACUUCUGAGUAAAACCAUAAAUAAAUCAAAACUUUUAACAACGGAUCU